UUCCAACAAGAACCGCUACCGUUUUUCGCUGAUUUUGAAAGGAAACCCGCUCUGAGCAAUUUUGCACUCAGCAUCAAGUUACACUGAAGUCAACCUUCACCCAUCUAUGUAAAAUGUUUUACAUUGUAGAAUUUUAUAAAACCCACGAGGUUGAGGUGGUGCCAGCAGCAUGGGUGGCUGAUGACAUUUGUCAGUGGCCCUCUUAUUACAAGCGUGACGAACUUGUAAAGGCC
Molecule: long non-coding RNA, 233 nt
Organism: Archocentrus centrarchus (flier cichlid)
Lineage: Eukaryota; Metazoa; Chordata; Actinopteri; Cichliformes; Cichlidae
Exons: 3
Source: RefSeq, a predicted model, not a curated record